UUUUUUUAAAUAAGGCAUAUUUAAUGUAAUUUUGUUUCAUAAGGAGAAUAUAAUAAGAUUUAUGCAGACCAUAACAUUAUAAUUGUACAGAAUUUCUUAGUAUAAAAUUGGAUAACAUCAUCCAAGAAAAGUGAUCUGGCAAAACCUCUAAAAUGUGAAACAAUAUGCUUAUCGUAAAAACCUGCCUGUAAUUUUAAAGAAAUACAAUCGUGAAAGUUAGUUAAAACUCCCAUAAACAUGCUUUUAACUUCAAAAACAAAAGACGAAUUUCUUUUCAGGCAAGCUUGCACAAAUUCAUAAGAUCUCUUACUAAGCAAAAGCUGUAAGUUUAGAACAAUUUCAAAUAUUUAAGCCAGCUGUUAUCUUUAACACAUUUAUUUUCAAAAGAUAACAUGAUAUAUAUGAUUUUAAAAGAUUUAUUUGUCUAUUUUCCUGCUCUAAAAAUGUACCUUAUUACAUCCAUACAGCAUUCGUCUACGGGAAUGACAGCAAAACCAAGUUUCUCCUUACUCAUUCCAGCAAGGGAGAGAAUAAUUACUUAAGAGCUUUCUAUGACAAUUGCUGGGAGCCAGACACCCAAACAGCCAUCCCUAUAUAACAGGGUUUGAAUGGUAAGGGCUUCACGUCUCAAUGAUCAUGGUCUGGCCCAAUCCAAAGCCAGCCUCCAAACUGCCAGAGCUCAGCGAAUGGUCUGUGUCCCAGCCCUGCACAUGACUAAAUUUGCUCCUGUCCAUCAUUUGGGUCAUAUAUAGUUCAAUUCAGUGAAGCAGACAGGGGCUGUAAGGAAAUCUGGAGCUGAUCAAUGCCUUGUCUGGGAGGCUCACAAGCUGCUGAUAUAUGCUAGCAAAACUCAUGCCUCAACUCUACCUCGGGCACAGCGCAGGCCGGCUGACAACAAUAAUUCCAUUUUCUUAAAAAAACUUAGUUUCAAUUGUGGGGAAGACGUCUUCCUUCCUACAGUAACUGCAACAUUUUUGACAAAGAUCCAACAUUCUGCCUGACGUAAUGCAACUUGCUCCGAGAGUGGUCUCCUUCGCUGCUGCUGGGGAUCUGGAUAUCAGCAGCAGAACCCGCAAUUAAUUGCAUAUCCAUUGCUGAUCUAGAGAUGAGCUGUUUUCUUGAUCCUCUGCUGUUGUUCUGGUGAAGGUGCUCCCAGAAUAAUAUCCUUUUGCUGGUUGCCUGGAACUCCUGGGAGUUCCAGCAUAUUGAUCCACCGAGAACGAAGACGUAUAAGCUUCUUCCAGCUGAAAUCUUCAUUCGAAUUCUCAUUCUCACAGGUUAGUAUAGUGGAAACAUUGGAGUUGAUAUUCAUUAAGGAUUGAAUAGAAUGCAAGACCUAAUCCAGUCAAAGGAUACCAAAGAGAAAGUUGUCUACAAGGUUAACAGAUUAAAUGGUGGAUCUACAGGAAGAAUGGAAGAAGUGAGGCAAGAUGUGAAUUUGAAAAUGAAAAAUUUACAGUGUUGCAUUUUCCAACCCCAGAAAACAGCUGAGAAAAAUGCGCAUGAUGUAAGUGGAGUAAACAAAUAAUAAAUGACAAUGUGAAAUCAUUGAAAUUAUAAAUAUAUAUUUUUUUACUAGCAGAUCUUGCAACAGGUGCAGGUCAUUUGGCCCUUCUCCCCUAUUCAAUAUGACCAUGGCCAAUCACCCACAUCAGUACUCUUUCCAUUUUCUCCACACAUCCCUUCUUGCCUUCAGCAUUAAGAAAUAUACCUACCUCCUUCAUGAAUAUCUUUAAUGACUUCCAAUCCUUUCUGUGAAACAGAAUUCCACUGGUUCAUCACCUUUAGGUGAAUAGAUUUCUUCUGGCAAUACUAAAUAGCAUUCCUUGUAGCCCAAGGGUGUACCCUUUGGUUCUGAACUCCUGAGCCAUCAGUAACAUCCUCCCUUCAUCUUGUCUUCCAAGUCCCGUUAUGAUCUUCUAGAUCUACAUGCAUUCCCAUCCCUUCUAAAUUCCAGUGAAUACAGGGCUAAUCAAUCCAAUCUUGCCUCAUAUAUCGCCUUAUUAUUCUAAAAAUCAAUCUAGUAAACCUUAACUGUACUCCCUUCAUUGUAAAAACAUCCUUCUCUUAUUAGGGAGGGCAACAUUGCAGGCAAAAAAUCCUGGUGGGGUCUCACCACUGAUGCGUCAGCCAUGCUCCUAUAUUUGAUCCCUCUUGCAAUGAAUGGCAACGUACAAUCGCCUUUUAGAAUUUGGAUGAAACAUUACAAUGAAGUUUUAAGUUGGGCAAUAAAUGUGGUCAGUUCUGCACAUAGUACCCAUUUAGUAUAAAAAUCAGAAGGCUCAAACCAUUUUUAUAUUUGGACUAUAAUGAAUUUUAGCACGGUAAAGAAAGCAAAAAUAUACUACAUUGUAGUUCACCAAUCUGUUCAAUAACUACAUUUGUUAUUUACCACAUGUAAGCAACAUAGGAAGCAAUAGUAGGAAUGGGUCAUUCAGUCUUUUGCACCUAUUAUGCCAUUCAAUAUUAUUGUUGAUUUUUUCAUCUCAGCACCAUUUUCCAACACUUAACUUUGUAUCCCUCAAUCCCACUCAUAAUUUUUUUUUAAAUGUACUUAAUAAAAUUUGACGCUAACCCCUCACAGUCCGCUCAGGAAAGGUUAGGGUGAUAUAUUUAUUUUGAUUUGGGUUGAAUGGCCACCUCUACUUUGUGAUUUUGCCACCUAAUUCUGGACAUGCCAGCCAGACGUUACAUCAACUUCACAUCCUUUCAGUCAAGCAAGCAUUUUACAAUAAAAUCAUUUCUUAUUCUUCAAAGCACACAAGAUUACAAUUAGUGCCUGCUUAGCCUGUCACCAUAAAAGCUCCUCAAUCCCACGAAUCAACCAGAUGAACCAUUUUUUUGCUAGGACUUCAUUUAUCUCCAAUCCAAGUUGGAGCAUGCAGAAGGACAAAAGUGUUUUAGACAGGUUGUAUUAAUGGUGCUCAUAGAAUCCUGGGUUUCCCUAUAUUUAAAUCAUCGACAGUUAAUGCACUGGUAGAGCAAGCAAUUGGGAAGCCGAGCUGUUGUUGAUCAUAACUGUGAGAGGAUUUCAGUAAACAUUUCUUACUAGAAUGACAUGGUGCUCUGGUAAGAUCAGCCCAAGAAUAUUGUCCCAGGUCAGGUCUUCCAUGGGUUGUGACUUGCUGCAUAGUUAAGGGAGAAAACAGUGGAUGUGGAACACACCAGAUCCACUGUUUUCUCCCCUAACUAUGCAGCAAAUCACAACCUAAAAAAAUCUUUAAGAUUUGUUAAAUUUGAUUUCUCUUUCAUAAAUCCAUCCAGAUUCUGCUGAAUCAAAUUAGUCAGUCAAAACAUCAUGGAAACAGGCCAUUCAGCACAACUUGCCCACGCCGCCCAACAUGCCUCAUCUACACUAGUCCCACCUGCUUGCAGUUGCUCCAUAUCCCUCAUAACGUAUCCCUUUUUUCAUGUACCUGUCCAAAUGUAUUUUUUCAUUAAGUGAUUUUUUUUUCAUCAAUUAUUUAUCAAUAAGAUCCCCUUAAUAAUAUUCUGUCAUUAUUGCUUUUCCCAAUCCCUCUAUUACCUUUUCUUCGAGCAAAAACACAGAUGCUAUGAACACAAAACUAAAACAAAAAAGCCUGGAAGAAUCUUGACGGGUCAGUGAUCUAAAAUAUUAACCAUAUUCCUUUCCAUAGACAUUGAAUGAUCAUGCAUUUUGUUUCUGUUUUACUCCAUACCACCAGUGGUGGGGCUGGUGGAGUGAAACAAUAUAAAUGCCAAAGAUAACAAGCUAAAUUUCAAAGGGGGAUUAUUUAAGGAUGUUUCAGUAUUCAACCACAAAUUCAACAAUUUUAAAUUUCAGCCAUAAUCGUUAGUAUUGAUCCUGCUACUCCAAUAUAUGCUGCUCUAGACCCAUCUUUUAUUUUUUUUAGCCAAGCCUAUUAUCCUCCUCUAUUCAUUUACAUCAUUAGCCUUUCUGUCAACUGCAUUCCACAAAUCAGACAUUCUCUUUUGUUCUCUCCAAAGUAUUAUCACCACCCUACAUAAUUGGACCCACACUGACCAACCUCUGUACUUGUUUAAAACCUGUUACAACGUGCUCUCAAUGCACAUUUCAGCUUCAAUGAAAGAUCAUUGACUUGAAAUACAAAUCACAUUCUUCUCUCCACUGAAGCUGUCUGACCUGCAAUAUUUGCAUUUAUUUUAAAUUCUUGUAAAUGCCAUGUAUGAGUGAAAAUGACAAAUAGUUUGGAAUUCGUACUGUUUCUAGUAACUGACAAAUUAAAAUAAUUGGUGUUAA
Molecule: long non-coding RNA, 4243 nt
Organism: Leucoraja erinaceus (little skate)
Lineage: Eukaryota; Metazoa; Chordata; Chondrichthyes; Rajiformes; Rajidae
Exons: 4
Source: RefSeq, a predicted model, not a curated record